Molecule: ribosomal RNA, 253 nt
Filed under: uncultured bacterium
Lineage: Bacteria
Description: partial 16S ribosomal RNA
Rfam family: Bacterial small subunit ribosomal RNA
Source: RNAcentral
GACGAAGGGGGCUAGCGUUGUUCGGAAUUACUGGGCGUAAAGCGAGUGUAGGUGGUUGUCCAAGUUGGAUGUGAAAGCCUUGAGCUCAACUCAAGAAAUGCAUUCAGGACUGGGCGGCUAGAGGACCGGAGAGGAUAGUGGAAUUCCCAGUGUAGUGGUGAAAUACGUAGAGAUUGGGAAGAACACCAGUGGCGAAGGCGGCUAUCUGGACGGUUUCUGACACUAAGACUCGAAAGCAUGGGGAGCAAACAGG